AGUUAAAUUUUCAUUCAUUUCUACCAUUAAAACUGGCUUGGCUGACAGCAUGACCUGACAGUUACACAUGCCGUGCCACAUGUAUCUCAUUUUGACAUAUAGGGAUCAAUUUUUAACAUUAAAAAUAGAUGGAACUUUUAACA
Molecule: non-coding RNA, 143 nt
Organism: Gossypium arboreum
Lineage: Eukaryota; Viridiplantae; Streptophyta; Magnoliopsida; Malvales; Malvaceae
Source: Rfam